Long non-coding RNA from Nyctereutes procyonoides (raccoon dog), 1453 nucleotides. RefSeq lists it as uncharacterized. Lineage: Eukaryota; Metazoa; Chordata; Mammalia; Carnivora; Canidae. The transcript is spliced from 3 exons. The record is from RefSeq and is a predicted model, not a curated record.
CAGAGGUUGAACGGAGUACUUUAGAGGUAAUGAAUUCCCUGUCACUGGAGGAGUAUAAGCACUCAGAUGACCAUUCAGGGGACACUCUGCACUUCUGUUGGAUGAAAUAGGAGACACAGAACGACCAGCCAAAUGGAAAAUGAACUGAUCCACCCUCUCCGCGGCCCCCCACCCCUCCUGCUCCCACUUUGAAGCUCCCACAGCUGUGAGCGAGAGCUGUGCCCCCAGCCUACUCGGUGCCUCCAUUACAGACCUCAGGGAGAAGCCAGCUGCCAUGUCACGAGGACGCUUUGGUGGCCCUGGAGAGACCAGGUGACAAGAAACCGAAUCCCUCUGCUGACAACCAGGGGAGUGAGCUGUCUUGAAAGCAGAUCAUCCGGCCGGCCCUUGGCAAGCCUUCAGAUGCCUGUAGCGCCAACAGCCAUCCAUACUGCAGCCUCGUGAGAGAUCCUGAGUCAGGACCACCUGGCCAGCUGCUCCCUCAAAACCACAUCAGAGAGGAAAUGUUUCAAGGGGCUACAUUUUUUGGGGAAAUUUGUUAGGCAGCAAUAGGUAACUAAUGCACAUUCAUUCUGUCAACUUCCCUGGGAAGGGGCCUGGACACUGGUGUGUUUAAAACCUCCUGGGGUACGCCAGUGUGCAUCCAGAGUUGAGAACCCCUGCCCUAAGGCCUAUGUGUGCUUGUGAGAGUGUCUGUGCUCGUGCACCUGGGUGUGUGCCCAUGCCAUGUGCAUGUGUACGGUGGCAGGGGAACACUAUGUCACACAUAUUGGUCAGGAUGCGGAAGCAGCAGUCCUAGCACCCCUUUGAGUGUGCCCCCCUCUCCAAGUGAGUCAGGCUGUGUGCCCUAGGUACCUGCGUCAGAGCCUGGCUCGGGAAGGUCUGGGGUGUGGAAAGAGCUGUAGAGAUCUUGUGGCCAGACCCAUAGGGGUCAUUCACCACGUCCUCUCCGUGAACUUUUCUGAGUUUCUGCAUUUGUGGGCUGGGAACAGACGGAUCACCAUUCUGCUCAGUCCUUUGAGGAGGCAUUAGUUGUGUUGGCUCUAUGCCUCCUGGCCUUGUUUUGGCAAUAUUUUGGUAGCACCAGGACUUAUGCUGUGAUGGCUGUGGAUGUGGUGAUAUCUACCCUGCAGCGAGGCAGGCAUAUAGUCAAUCCAAUGUGAGGUCCCUCUGCAGGAUGGACUGGAAGUGGAGGGGCUGCCCGUGGGACAUUCCUAAGAGGACAAUUUUAGUCAUGUCUGGUUUAAGCCUUUGGGAUUUGAGACCAACAGUCUUGCCCUCCUAAAUGCCAGGUGGCACAAAUUGGUAGGAUGAGGAGUUGGUCUUCACAUGCCAGAGAGUGAAGAUCUUGCUUCUGAAGCAGAAAGCAGAAGAGUUGAGUUCCUUUUAGCUGAGGUAGGUGGGUGGUUCCAGCCGAGUCUAGACCUCCCCUGGCUUUGUGUCCUUGGUUGAG